GACGAACGCUGGCGGCGUGCUUAACACAUGCAAGUCGAACGGAAAGGCCCUGCUUUUGUGGGGUGCUCGAGUGGCGAACGGGUGAGUAACACGUGAGUAACCUGCCCUUGACUUUGGGAUAACUUCAGGAAACUGGGGCUAAUACCGGAUAGGAGCUCCUGCUGCAUGGUGGGGGUUGGAAAGUUUCGGCGGGUGGGGAUGGACUCGCGGCUUAUCAGCUUGUAGGUGGGGUAGUGGCUAACCAAGGCUUUGACGGGUAGCCGGCCGUAUAGGGUGACCGGCCACAUCGGGCCUGCAAUACGGCCCAGACUCCUACGGGAGGCAGCAGUGGGGAAUAUUGCACAAUGGGCGGAAGCCUGAUGCAGCAAAGCCGCGUGCGGUAUGAAGGCCUUCGGGUUGUAAACCGCUUUCGCCUGUGACGAAGCGUGAGUGACGGUAAUGGGUAAAGAAGCACCGGCUAACUACGUG
This 468-nucleotide ribosomal RNA is filed under the name uncultured bacterium. RNAcentral's name for it is "partial 16S ribosomal RNA". It matches the Rfam family "Bacterial small subunit ribosomal RNA", at positions 28 to 507 of the family's 1533-position model. The record is from RNAcentral.